Molecule: long non-coding RNA, 1111 nt
Organism: Oryzias latipes (Japanese medaka)
Lineage: Eukaryota; Metazoa; Chordata; Actinopteri; Beloniformes; Adrianichthyidae
Source: RefSeq, a predicted model, not a curated record
UGAAAAAACGGGAAAAGUGGGGUUGUUCAAUUUACAAAUAGUAAACAUGUUUGUUUAAUAUGAACAAAUUAUGUUUACCUUCGAAACAUAAUAUAAUCUUGAAAAUCACACAUCAUUUCUUGCUGUGUUACUUUUAUAUAUUUAAAUCAUGUUGACAAAACAUGAAAUAGUUAUGCUUGAUCCUUUGCCCCUUAAUUUUGGAUAAGUAAACCCCAUCGGUGAAGAAGAAUUCCAGGAGGGGAAACUUUGCAGUCAGCCAUUUUAGAGAAGCUACAAGCACCUGCUCUGGCUGGAGGAACUUAAAAAAGAGCUCAUCACACAACACUUCCAACUGCUCCUCCCUGAUCAUGCUGGGGUCCAUGCUCCAGUCUUCACUGAGUCAGACUGCUGAACUUCUCGCCAAUAUAAGCAAGUUCAGGGGUUUAUUCAAAGUAUAGAAUGAAGACCAUGCAGCAAUCCAGGAGGCAAUCGAGGACACCACGGUGGGAAUUUCCCUCCAUAUGGAAACUGGCAGUGGUGAGGAAGAGGACAUUCUCGUGGUCCACAUCUCCCAGGCUGUGGUGGUCGACCCACCAAGUGUCUGAGUGGCAGUUGCCAAGGCUUUUUUGGCCUUAUUUACAGCACAAAUCUGAUUACCAUCCUCAUCUCAGAAACACCUUGUCAUGGGGCCGUGACUUUGCUCCUGCUAUGAUCUCCUGGAGGCCCUUCCCUUCUUGAGCUCUCCCGCUGGUCACAGGUGUUCUGUAUUAUGUUGAUUGGUUUGUCUAUUUAUGCAGUGUCUGAUCUUGUUUCUGUGUCGGAGCGUCUUCGUUCUACGCUCUGGUGUUAUGGUUCUCUGGCAUUAAAGCCCCUUCGAGUGAACUAUUGGAUUUGGGUCGUUCUUCCUGCUCUUGGGUUCUCUCCCUUGGACAUUCCGUCACACACCUUUGAGGUAAUCCAAAAAAAAACUGUAUUAGAGUUGUAAGGCAAAGUGGUGUCUAAGGUUUCAGGCUUAAAGAUCCGACUCUUUGAAUAAAAUGACCUUUAAAUAGUUUAACUUUUUCCUAAGAAGGGAUUCCAGCUGUUUGCUUUGGCUCUGUUAUCUUCUGUUUAAUAAAAAUGGCAAGCCCAA